UGUCACAGAGUUUUGGACGCCGAAUGCACCCAAUCUUGUCUGACUUUGGAAGCAAAGCAGGGUUGGGCCUGGUCAGUAUUUGGAUGGGAAAAUCAAAUCCAGUCGUAUGUGAAAA
Molecule: ribosomal RNA, 115 nt
Organism: Ursus americanus (American black bear)
Lineage: Eukaryota; Metazoa; Chordata; Mammalia; Carnivora; Ursidae
Source: Ensembl